Molecule: ribosomal RNA, 253 nt
Filed under: uncultured bacterium
Lineage: Bacteria
Description: partial 16S ribosomal RNA
Rfam family: Bacterial small subunit ribosomal RNA
Source: RNAcentral
UACGAAGGGGGCUAGCGUUGUUCGGAAUUACUGGGCGUAAAGCGCACGUAGGCGGAUACUUAAGUCAGGGGUGAAAUCCCGGGGCUCAACCUCGGAACUGCCUUUGAUACUGGGUAUCUCGAGUCCGGAAGAGGUGAGUGGAAUUCCGAGUGUAGAGGUGAAAUUCGUAGAUAUUCGGAGGAACACCAGUGGCGAAGGCGGCUCACUGGUCCGGUACUGACGUUGAGGUGCGAAAGCGUGGGGAGCAAACAGG